Molecule: long non-coding RNA, 5105 nt
Filed under: Homo sapiens (human)
Lineage: Eukaryota; Metazoa; Chordata; Mammalia; Primates; Hominidae
Description: HSALNT0111547
Source: RNAcentral
GUAGGCGCUGCUGCCGCCGCCUCCUCAGGAGCACCCGGCAAGGGGCCGCAGGAGAGAAGCCCUCGAGCUUUCGUCGGUGCUGGUGCUGCCGCCACUGCCGCCACCGCCGGGAAUCACACGGGCUCCUCGGUCCCAGGCUGCAGCUCUUGUUGCCAUGAUGAUGAUGUCACGGACGCAACCACUGGGGGGAGGGGAGAGGGGGGUGUGUGUGGCGAAGGGAGGCUGCGAGUAGUGCGGGGGAGGGGGCUCGGCGGGAAAAGGAGCGAGAGGGCGGGCGCCCGGGCGGGACACGGAGGGCGGGGGCCGAGAAGGGGCUUUCUCCCCCUCCCCGGGCACGCGGCGAGGGAGGCGGCCGGCGGCCGGCAGCGCCCGCGCGGGAUCGAUGACUCGGCUGGCGGGCACGGUCACCUGGGUGAGGGGCAGCGGAAGGGGCGGCGGAGCACCGAUCUCAUGGAUGGGCUCCGAGGGGCUUGCGGGAGGGGGGCGCCAGUGUUCGGGGCCGUUUUGGCGGCUAUGCAGGAUUGGCAGGAGCUGCGAUGCUCACACUUGCCUCGCCGACCGCCAUUUCACAUCCAGCAGAGGAGGCGGGGGCAGCCGCUGAGACGGUUUUUCACAAGGAAAUGACCUCAUUCUUGAUGGCUGCUGCUAACUUAUGGUGAGAUGCUGGGUCCCUGCCCAAUACCACAUGGACAUCCAAUCAAUUUACCCAGGGACAAGUCCACUCAAGAGCAUCAUUUAGAAGAGGGAAAAGGCACUGGGGUUAUUUGUUUUUGGAGUAUGUGCUUAAGGAAAUCUAGAGUAUUCCCACGAGCAUUCUGCUGAGAUGAACAAUCAGAUGACCUCGUGUGAGAUUUGGAGGAGAGAAGGAAAUGGAGAGCAUGCGUCUGCCGCUUCUGUGGUUUCUGUCGGCUUUCUCCAUAUUUACGUGCUUGUAACUCUGGCAUGACCUUUGCUCCAGUCUCUACCAGAGGGCGGUGCCUGGAUUGAAGUGGAAAAGCCCUGUUUUCCAGCCAUGACCCAGGGAGCAAGCACUGACUCCUCAGGGGAACAGGAGACCUGCCAACUAGGACCCUGGGAGCCCCCAUGCUGGCAGUGCCCUGGGUCAUCUCAGGCUCAUCAGCAAAUCCUGGGGGGAGAGCGGGGCUGGAGGGCGAAGAAGCCCAGGAGAGUUCCUGGCUCAGAACCCCUCUCUGAGGCUCCCAAUACAGAGCCCAGGCCCCACACCCAGGGCCUCUGAGUAUUUUUGUUUAUUGUAUGUAAAAUACUAGUGUAUUUUUGUUUAAGUCUCACAGGUAAACAGGUUCUCUCAUACUUUGCCAAGGGAAAUGUGAUCUGUGCAAUUUGGCAAUAACUAUCAGAAUUUUAAAAGCUUAUGCCCUUUGACCUAGUAAUUUCACUUCUAAGAAUUUCCCCUGCAGAGAUAUGUAUAUCUUGUAUGAAAUGAAGAGGCUACGAAGACAGGCAACGCCGCAGUGUUUAUAAUAGCGAAGACCAGACACAACCCACAUGUCUAAAGAUAAAAAAUGAAAAGGAAAGGCUCCACUAGUGAUUCUGAUGCUCACAAAGAUUAAGAACCAAUGCGAAUGAGGAACUCAUGACACCGCCCAGGAGACAGUGAACAUAUCUCUUCAAAUAUCAAAAACCUUUCAGCAGAGGGUGAGAACAUGUGCCUGGGGUAAGCAUGGGUGGGCAUGAGCUGGGUACAGAGGUGAUUCCCAGGGACAUACAACUACCUUGCCCUCCUGGGAUCAGGUCUUCCUCCCACCUUAGCCUCCCAUAUUGUUGGGACCACAGGCAUGCACCACCACACCUGGUUAAUUUUUUUUUUUUUUUUUUUUUUGUAGCGACAGAGUCUCGCCAUGUUGCCUAGGCUGGUCUCGAACUCCUGGGCUCAGGCAAUCCUUCUGCCUCGUCCUUCCAAAGUGCUGAGAUUACAGGCAUGAGCCACUGCACCCAGCCUGACAGUAGCUUUUAAUCUCUGGACUCUCAUCACCGUUUGGACUGUGAGCUGUGGUUCUAGCUCUUGGAUCUGAUGGGCAUCUUCCCUCAAAUAUGUCAGUUUCUCUCUCCAGGUCCCUUGCUUUGUCUUCCUUUUUGCCUCCUCGGGCCUGAUACCUUUCUCUGGGCUUCUCUACUCUGCCCCGAGCUGCCUAGUUUUGCGAAUAAUGUCACAUCCAGAUGUCAGCAGCCCUGAUGUCCAUGUGACAAUGCUCCCUUGCUGUCCAUGUGACAAUGCUCCCUUGGUGUCCCAGUGACAGAUUUUCCCAUGCUUCACCCUCUCUCUUUUUUAAUUUUUUUUUCUGUACACAGCUCUCAGUCAAGCCCCUUGAGCUGCCUCCAACUGUUUGCUCAUGUCUGUUCCCAGCAAUCUUUUCCUCUUUUAGCACAAUCUUCCUUAACUUACUAGUUUUUUGAAACAGAGCCUAUUAGUCUUCACAGCGCUACCUUUCUGAUCUCAGAGUUCACCAAAAAGCUUUUCCUCCCAUCAUGCCUGCCUCCCUUUCUUCAGGUCCGUUAGAGUCCACCGUGGCCUGUGUGGGAAGCAAGUCUCUCCCAGGGCACACAUGAACAGACUUCAUGCCCACAUCCACAGUGAACAGUGGCUUCUGCCUUCCAGAUGGGCUUACCCUAAAUCAACACAUAUUCCUAGGAUGUGGGAACAUAUGCAAUACUUAAAUGCACAGGCUCUGGGUUCAGACUCCCUAGGGUUAAAUUCUCCCUGUGCCGGCUAGCUGCAUGAUUAGAUUUGUGAUCUUGACAAAGUUACCUAACGUCUCUGGGCCUCACUUUUCUCAUCUGCAAAAUAGGGAAAAUAGCAACACUUCUCCAUAGGGGUGUGGUGAGGAUAAAGAGUAGAUGUAAAUAAAGUGUUGAAUGUAGAGCCUGGCACAUAUCAAGCUCUUAAAAAGCAAUGGCCAUUUUGUUAUUUUUACCGCAACGACAACUGCAGUUAUUAUCUGGCUUCAGAGCUCUCUUUUUAAAAACAGUAUUCCCUGGUUUUACACCCAGGUGCUAAUACUAUUCUAUGAAGCUAAUGUAUAGAGACCAUAUCUUUUUAACAAACGUGUAUAUAUGAGUCAUUUCCGGCACAUUUGAUACACAUCAUCUCGUUUGGUCCUUAAAACAAGCCUAGGCCAUAAGCAGGGUACGUGUUACCACUUUGCCAUUCCUGUUUUACAGAGGCUUAGACACAUUGAGAAGCUUUUCCAUAGUCACUUAACAAGUGAUGGGUGAAGCCAAAUCAAGCCUUUAGAUCUCCAAGCUCUUUCCAUUAAACCAUAUAAAUCACGGGUUGGCAAACUUUUUCUGCAAAGGGGACAGAUAGUAAAUAGUUUAAGCCUUAUGGGCCACAUGCUGUGUCUGUUUCAUAUUCUGCUCCUUUUUUAUUUUUAUUUUUUUUAAGAAAAGACACCCUUUAAACAUAUAAAAACCAUUCUGAGCAACAGGCUGGUGCUAAAAACAGGUCAUGGUAACCAUUGGCUCUAGGGUUGUAGUUUACUGUUGAUAUAGAUUGUACACUGAUAAGCCAAAAUACAAACCUAAUGAAACUGACAUACUUAAGGAACUUUACUCUUUGUUAGCAAUCAUUGUUAAUAUUUAUUGAAUGGUGACUACGUGGGAAAUGCUGUUCCAAGUGUGAUAGAUAUAUUAACUUACUUAAUCCUCACACCCACUCUAAUUUCCUAAGUACUAUUGUCAGACUCAUUUUACAGACAGGAAAAGCAAGGCAUAGAGAAGGUAAGUAACUUUUCCGAGGUCACAUGGCUAUUAAGUAGCAGAGCUGUGAUUCAAAUAUAAGCGGUUUGGCACCAGAUCCUGUGCACUUAACCGCUUGCAUCUCGGUUGGGAGCACUGACUGGUUCAGCUAUUGGGAGGGAAGAAAGGGGAUGGGGAAGCCACAUAACCCCUAGGAGAUUCUGUAAUAAAUAUGCUUCAGAGCCAUUCACCUUGAAGCUGAGGAGGCAUGGAAGCAGGCCACCUGUGUUCUGUACAGCAUCACCAGGCUGGAAAUCUGCCAUGGCUUUCCUUCACGCCAUCACAAGAGGAUACAGAUGAGGCUGCAGAGGCAUCUUGAUUUGAGAAAAGCAUUUGACUGGAUCUCAUUAAAUUUUAAUCAUUAACUGAAUUCAAAAUAAAUUGAAAACUGGUUGACAGAGCACCAACAAAGGGUGAUGAUAAAUGGUGAUGCAUCUAGAGGGGAGCUAUCUUCCAGGGGACAACUCUAAGGCAAGGACGGAUGGGAUUUAAUGAAGGUGUUAUGUCCCCAGAAGAAGACAAAUAGCACAGCAAGGAACAGAGGAAGGACAGGAGUGAGCAGCCUGAGUAAUUAAUAAACCAUAUUAACAGCUCCUCCAUAAUCAGGCCUUGGUGAUCACAACUGCUUGGAUUUUUUCUUAAGCUUUCUUUGAGUCAGGAAUAGGUUUGAAGCGUCCUAGAGACACACAGCAUGAAUAUUUCAGGUGGACAUUAAAAAGAAAUCUAUAAAUUUACAGCUGGGAGGAUCCUGAGAUCUACUUCGGAUCAGAAACUUUCAAUUACAAGAUUCCCAAGGCCUUACUUCAUUCCCCAGAGAGUAAUCUUUUUAAUAAAUGUCCAAAAGUCAUGGAUUUAAAAAAAAAUCUUUAAACUCAUUAAUGUCCUUUGUUUCCUGCCCAAAUGCAUGCAAACUUUCAUAACACUGGUUUGCUGAGUGGAAGGUUGGUUUUGAGUGAACUGUUUGGCUCAGAUUCAAACUCCAAUGAACAAAUACUUCCAAGUUUACUUGCUGAAUUUCCCAUACAGAGAAGUUCUUCCACUGGGCUUGCCAGAGGAUUUGAAACAGUGGUGAGCCCUGGAAGGAAGGGAAUAUUUACUGGCCCUUGGACAUAAACCCAGCACAGUAAGACUCACAUCAGGCUGAAGGCAGUGCAGUAUGAACCGACCUGAUUUGAGGAAGUUUGCUCUGGGACUCCUCUGAGCUACUAAAUGAGGAGGAGAAGGACUAAUGGGAACACACUGACUCCAUCACAUUAGAAGUUAUAAUAAACAUUUAGAGAACAACCUCAAACCAGCCCAUGUUUUUUUUUUUUUUCUGUCGUUGUCAUUGUUUUGGUUUUUGUUUUUUU